This 476-nucleotide ribosomal RNA is filed under the name uncultured bacterium. Its description in RNAcentral is "partial 16S ribosomal RNA". It matches the Rfam family "Bacterial small subunit ribosomal RNA", at positions 30 to 507 of the family's 1533-position model. The record is from RNAcentral.
UGAACGCUGGCGGCGUGCUUAACACAUGCAAGUCGAACGGGAAUUAUUUUAUUGAAACUUCGGUCGAUUUAAUUUAAUUCUAGUGGCGGACGGGUGAGUAACGCGUGGGUAACCUGCCUUAUACAGGGGGAUAACAGUCAGAAAUGGCUGCUAAUACCGCAUAAGCGCACAGAGCUGCAUGGCUCAGUGUGAAAAACUCCGGUGGUAUAAGAUGGACCCGCGUUGGAUUAGCUGGUUGGUGGGGUAACGGCCCACCAAGGCGACGAUCCAUAGCCGGCCUGAGAGGGUGAACGGCCACAUUGGGACUGAGACACGGCCCAGACUCCUACGGGAGGCAGCAGUGGGGAAUAUUGCACAAUGGGGGAAACCCUGAUGCAGCGACGCCGCGUGAAGGAAGAAGUAUCUCGGUAUGUAAACUUCUAUCAGCAGGGAAGAUAGUGACGGUACCUGACUAAGAAGCCCCGGCUAACUACGUG